CCUACGGGAGGCAGCAGGGGGGAAUAUUGCACAAUGGGGGGAACCCUGAUGCAGCGACGCCGAGUGAGUGAAGAAGUAUUUCGGUAAGUAAAGCUCUAUCAGCAGGGAAGAAAAAGAAGGUACCGGUCUAAGAAGACCCGGCUAACUACGUGACAGCAGCCGCGGUAAGAAGUAGGGGGAAAGCGUUAUCUGGAUUUACUGGGAGUAAAGGGAGCGUAGACGGUUAUGCAAGUCUGCAGGGAAAGCCCAAGGCUCAACCAUGGGACUGUUGUGGAAACUGUAAAACAUGAGUGCAGGAGAGGUAAGCGGAAUUCCUAGUGUAGUGGUGAAAUGCGUAGAUAUUAGGAGGAACACCAGUGG
RNAcentral lists this ribosomal RNA (360 nucleotides) under uncultured bacterium. RNAcentral's name for it is "partial 16S ribosomal RNA". It matches the Rfam family "Bacterial small subunit ribosomal RNA", at positions 338 to 715 of the family's 1533-position model. The record is from RNAcentral.